AAUAAGUACAGUUUUACACUAUUGAUGUCCAAUAUUUAACCGUUCGUCUUAUUUGAAAUUUUUUUUAUGAUUAGUAUUUUUGUUAUUGUUAGAUGAUAAAACAUGAAUAGUACUUUAUGUGACUAAUUUUUCUAUAAAAUUUUUAAAUAAGAUGGACAAUCAAACGUUGGACACGGAAACCCACAAUUACACUUAUU
This is a non-coding RNA of Oryza punctata, 197 nucleotides long. NCBI's taxonomy places the organism in Eukaryota, Viridiplantae, Streptophyta, Magnoliopsida, Poales, Poaceae. The record is from Rfam.